Molecule: ribosomal RNA, 441 nt
Filed under: uncultured bacterium
Lineage: Bacteria
Description: bacterial SSU rRNA
Rfam family: Bacterial small subunit ribosomal RNA
Source: RNAcentral
AUCAACGCUGGCGGCGCGCUUAACACAUGCAAGUCGAACGAGAAAGCCGGGGCAACCUGGUGAGUAAAGUGGCGUACGGGUGAGUAACACGUGGAUCAUCUACCCUGGAGUGGGGAAUAACGCUGGGAAACCGGCGCUAAUACUGCAUAAUCCCGAGAGGGCAAAGGAAGCAAUUCCGUUUCAGGAGGAGUCUGCGGCCGAUUAGCUUGUUGGCGAAGGGUAAAAGCCUACCAAGGCANCGAUCGGUAGCCGGCCUGAGAGGGCACACGGCCACACUGGCACUGAAACACGGGCCAGACUCCUACGGGAGGCAGCAGUGGGGAAUCUUGCACAAGUGGGGCAACCCUGAUGCAGCGACGCCGCGUGAGCGAUGAAGCUCCUCGGAGUGUAAAGCUCUUUCGGCAGGGAAGAUUAUGACGGUACCUGCAGAAGCAGCUGCGG